Molecule: long non-coding RNA, 227 nt
Filed under: Elaeis guineensis (African oil palm)
Lineage: Eukaryota; Viridiplantae; Streptophyta; Magnoliopsida; Arecales; Arecaceae
Description: long non-coding RNA (EGUI_LNC020751)
Source: RNAcentral
GGGCAAAAUUUUACAUUGAUUGAAGAGGUGUCUUGCUGCAAUUUAUCUGGCCAUUGUGCUUUGUACAACGUUGCUCGUAGAGGCUUUUAAAAUAUGCAAAUCUGUAUAACAAUAUUCUACUUGGUAUAGGUCGAACAUGCCGGUCCAUGAUCCAGAAUAACAAAAUUAUGAAUCGUUUGACCAAAACAACAUUUAUUACCUAAGUUCACGUUAAGCACCACAUGCUG